CGCGUAGGUGGUAGUGUAAGUCUGGGGUGGAAUCCCAGGGCUUAACCCUGGAACUGCCUUGGAAACUGCAUUACUUGAGUCAGUGAGGGGAGGGUAGAAUUCCUGGUGUAGCGGUGAAAUGCGUAGAUAUCAGGAGGAAGGCCUGUGGCGAAGGCGGCCCUCUGGCGCUGAACUGACACUGAGGCGCGAAAGCGUGGGGAGCAAACAGGAUUAGAUACCCUGGUAGUCCACGCCAUAAACGAUGAGAACUAGACGUUGAGAGGGUAAGCCUCACAGUGUCGUAGCUAACGCGCUAAGUUCUCCGCCUGGGGAGUACGGCCGCAAGGUUGAA
This 331-nucleotide ribosomal RNA is filed under the name uncultured bacterium. Its description in RNAcentral is "bacterial SSU rRNA". It matches the Rfam family "Bacterial small subunit ribosomal RNA", at positions 568 to 898 of the family's 1533-position model. The record is from RNAcentral.